RNAcentral lists this ribosomal RNA (373 nucleotides) under uncultured bacterium. RNAcentral's name for it is "bacterial SSU rRNA". It matches the Rfam family "Bacterial small subunit ribosomal RNA", at positions 523 to 898 of the family's 1533-position model. The record is from RNAcentral.
AUACGGAGGGUGCAAGCGUUAUCCGGAUUCACUGGGUUUAAAGGGUGCGUAGGUGGGUAUGUAAGUCAGUGGUGAAAUCCCCGAGCUUAACUUGGGAACCGCCGUUGAUACUAUAUAUCUUGAAUGCCGUAGAGGUAAGCGGAAUAUGUCAUGUAGCGGUGAAAUGCUUAGAGAUGACAUAGAACACCAAUUGCGAAGGCAGCUUACUAUGCGGUGAUUGACACUGAUGCACGAAAGCGUGGGUAGCAAACAGGAUUAGAUACCCUGGUAGUCCACGCCCUAAACUAUGGAUACUCGACAUACGCGAUACACUGUGUGUGUCUGAGCGAAAGCAUUAAGUAUCCCACCUGGGAAGUACGACCGCAAGGUUGAA